UUAAACUAUAAUCACUAAUCCAGAAUCCCUAAAUCCAUACUCUCUAAACCUUAAAAUAUGAACUCCUAAACCAACCUUAAAUCUUAAAUAAAUCAUAUACCCUAAACAAAAAACCCUAAACAAAUUUAUUAUUAUCUCUUUUACAAUUAUAUAAGAAAAUAUUUAAAAUAUAAAUUCAAAAAAUUAAUCUACACGCCCAAAAUCCUAACUCAAGCCCUAAAUCCCUAAACCCUAAAUCCCUAACUCUUAAUC
This 252-nucleotide long non-coding RNA is filed under the name Gossypium raimondii (Peruvian cotton). Its description in RNAcentral is "long non-coding RNA (GRAI_LNC006360)". The record is from RNAcentral. Lineage: Eukaryota; Viridiplantae; Streptophyta; Magnoliopsida; Malvales; Malvaceae.